This 350-nucleotide ribosomal RNA is filed under the name Agrobacterium tumefaciens. Its description in RNAcentral is "bacterial SSU rRNA". It matches the Rfam family "Bacterial small subunit ribosomal RNA", at positions 64 to 444 of the family's 1533-position model. Lineage: Bacteria; Pseudomonadati; Pseudomonadota; Alphaproteobacteria; Hyphomicrobiales; Rhizobiaceae. The record is from RNAcentral.
GAACGCCCCGCAAGGGGAGUGGCAGACGGGUGAGUAACGCGUGGGAAUCUACCCAACCCUGCGGAAUAGCUCUGGGAAACUGGAAUUAAUACCGCAUACGCCCUACGGGGGAAAGAUUUAUCGGGGAUGGAUGAGCCCGCGUUGGAUUAGCUAGUUGGUGGGGUAAAGGCCUACCAAGGCGACGAUCCAUAGCUGGUCUGAGAGGAUGAUCAGCCACAUUGGGACUGAGACACGGCCCAAACUCCUACGGGAGGCAGCAGUGGGGAAUAUUGGACAAUGGGCGCAAGCCUGAUCCAGCCAUGCCGCGUGAGUGAUGAAGGCCUUAGGGUUGUAAAGCUCUUUUCACCGGU